GCUAAUACCGCAUAACGUCGCAAGACCAAAGAGGGGGGACCUUCGGGCCUCUUGCCAUCGGAUGUGCCCAGAUGGGAUUAGCUAGUAGGUGGGGUAACGGCUCACCUAGGCGACGAUCCCUAGCUGGUCUGAGAGGAUGACCAGCCACACUGGAACUGAGACACGGUCCAGACUCCUACGGGAGGCAGCAUG
Molecule: ribosomal RNA, 192 nt
Filed under: uncultured bacterium
Lineage: Bacteria
Description: partial 16S ribosomal RNA
Rfam family: Bacterial small subunit ribosomal RNA
Source: RNAcentral